This 608-nucleotide long non-coding RNA is filed under the name Mus pahari (shrew mouse). RNAcentral's name for it is "predicted gene 15239 (MGP_PahariEiJ_G0004030.1)". The record is from RNAcentral. Lineage: Eukaryota; Metazoa; Chordata; Mammalia; Rodentia; Muridae.
AGCUGUCAGAGAGUCCCUCUCCAGGUACCUGCCUUUUUUUCCUUCUCUUCUGUGCUGGGAACCAGUGGCUGUUGAAUAGCAGCUAAGAGCCCAACACAUGUGCUCUUCUGAGAACCAGGGACCACAAUGCAUUGGGCAUUGGGACUACUUUAUUGGCCACUCUUAAGUCUUUUUAAGUGUGAUUCUAGGGCUGCAAGGAGAUGAAGAUAUCAACAAGUGAGGAGAAGGUUGGUAUUAUACACAUGAUGUGAACCUUGCCCACUGUGCCCUGGGGCUUCCCAAUGGUGAUCCAUAUACCUCUCUGAAGCCUUGACUGGUGACAAGAUGAGAUAAGCGACAUGAUUAUUCACCAGAAAGUUCGGUCCCCAAGGUCUCUUAGGGAAACCCAAACCCAUAUAUACAACCUCCCAAGAAGCAUACUAUUUUCAGCCACUGCACAGCAGACUCCAUUAAGAAAAGUAACUUAGCUUAAUUGGAUGCAGAUUUUUUUAAAAAAGGUAAUUGCUAUCUUUCAAUAAUAUUUGAACUACUGAUCCAAAAGAUACCUUUAUACAAUAGUCUCCCCAUGGGUAACUGUAACAGAAUUAAAUUUAACCAUAACGGUGCCA